RNAcentral lists this unclassified non-coding RNA (337 nucleotides) under soil metagenome. RNAcentral's name for it is "partial contains 5.8S ribosomal RNA, internal transcribed spacer 2, and large subunit ribosomal RNA". The stretch from base 1 to 120 matches the Rfam family "5.8S ribosomal RNA", at positions 35 to 154 of the family's 154-position model. The record is from RNAcentral.
GAUGAAGAACGUAGCGAAAUGCGAUAAGUAGUGUGAAUUGCAGAAUUCAGUGAAUCAUCGAAUCUUUGAACGCACAUUGCGCCCCUUGGUAUUCCAUGGGGCAUGCCUGUUCGAGCGUCAUUUGUACCUUCAAGCUCUGCUUGGUGUUGGGUGUUUGUCUCGCCUCUGCGUGUAGACUCGCCUCAAAACAAUUGGCAGCCGGCGUAUUGAUUUCGGAGCGCAGUACAUCUCGCGCUUAGCACUCAUAACGACGACGUCCAAAAGUACAUUUUUACACUCUUGACCUCGGAUCAGGUAGGGAUACCCGCUGAACUUAAGCAUAUCAAUAAGCGGAGGA